AUCCCCAUUUUUGAUUAGUUUGCACAAUUUACAAAACAGGUUAUAAAAAUGGACUGACCUCUAAAGGUACCUCCUGCCUUUUAAAUGGACCACUCUUUUUCUACUGCUCUUCAGUCUGUUCUGCCCAAGGCCGUUGGGGUCCGACAGAGAUCAGCAGUGUUCCUGCAGAGAUGAAGCAGCUCGUCAAAACCCGAAUUAGAUGUUAAAUCUUUUUGAAGUGGGGAGGAGGUGGAGGGAGGGAGCCCCACUGUGCUAAAAAUUUAUCCUUUUUUUCCUUUUUUUCUGUGAGAUAAUGUCCCAGAAAAGAUUUGUUAUCCCCCAAGUUGCAAACUGCUGUUUCAGGCUGAUU
Molecule: long non-coding RNA, 349 nt
Filed under: Monodelphis domestica (gray short-tailed opossum)
Lineage: Eukaryota; Metazoa; Chordata; Mammalia; Didelphimorphia; Didelphidae
Description: lncRNA (ENSMODG00000038342.1)
Source: RNAcentral